AAACGUUGCUUCGGCGGGAACAGACGGCCCUGUAACAACGGGCCGCCCCCGCCAGAGGACCCCUAACUCUGUUUUUAUAAUGUUUUUCUGAGUAAACAAGCAAAUAAAUUAAAACUUUCAACAACGGAUCUCUUGGCUCUGGCAUCGAUGAAGAACGCAGCGAAAUGCGAUAAGUAAUGUGAAUUGCAGAAUUCAGUGAAUCAUCGAAUCUUUGAACGCACAUUGCGCCCGCCAGUAUUCUGGCGGGCAUGCCUGUUCGAGCGUCAUUACAACCCUCAGGCCCCCGGGCCUGGCGUUGGGGAUCGGCGGAAGCCCCCUGUGGGCACACGCCGUCCCUCAAAUACAGUGGCGGUCCCGCCGCAGCUUCCAUUGCGUAGUAGCUAACACCUCGCAACUGGAGAGCGGCGCGGCCAUGCCGUAAAACACCCAACUUCUGAAUGUUGACCUCGAAUCAGGUAGGAAUACCCGCUGAACUUAAGCAUAUCAAUAAG
This 491-nucleotide ribosomal RNA is filed under the name Fusarium solani. RNAcentral's name for it is "eukaryotic LSU rRNA". The stretch from base 113 to 266 matches the Rfam family "5.8S ribosomal RNA". The record is from RNAcentral. Lineage: Eukaryota; Fungi; Ascomycota; Sordariomycetes; Hypocreales; Nectriaceae.